RNAcentral lists this ribosomal RNA (1375 nucleotides) under Serica intermixta. Its description in RNAcentral is "SSU rRNA". It matches the Rfam family "Eukaryotic small subunit ribosomal RNA", at positions 32 to 1343 of the family's 1831-position model. The record is from RNAcentral. Lineage: Eukaryota; Metazoa; Arthropoda; Insecta; Coleoptera; Scarabaeidae.
UUGUCUCAAAGAUUAAGCCAUGCAUGUCUCAGUACGAGCCGCAUUAAGGUGAAACCGCGAAAGGCUCAUUAAAUCAGUUAUGGUUCCUUAGAUCGUACCCACAUUUACUUGGAUAACUGUGGUAAUUCUAGAGCUAAUACAUGCAAACAGAGCUCCGACCGGAGACGGAAGGAGCGCUUUUAUUAGAUCAAAACCAAUCGGUGUCGGGCUUGCCCGUCACCGUACACCUUGGUGACUCUGAAUAACUUUUUGCUGAUCGCACGGUCUCGCACCGGCGACGCAUCUUUCAAAUGUCUGCCUUAUCAACUGUCGAUGGUAGGUUCUGCGCCUACCAUGGUUGUAACGGGUAACGGGGAAUCAGGGUUCGAUUCCGGAGAGGGAGCCUGAGAAACGGCUACCACAUCCAAGGAAGGCAGCAGGCGCGCAAAUUACCCACUCCCGGCACGGGGAGGUAGUGACGAAAAAUAACGAUACGGGACUCAUCCGAGGCCCCGUAAUCGGAAUGAGUACACUCUAAACCCUUUAACGAGGAUCAAUUGGAGGGCAAGUCUGGUGCCAGCAGCCGCGGUAAUUCCAGCUCCAAUAGCGUAUAUUAAAGUUGUUGCGGUUAAAAAGCUCGUAGUCGAAUUUGUGUCUCGCGCCGCCGGUUCAUCGCUCGCGGUGUUUAACUGGCGUGUCCGCGGGACGUCCUGCCGGUGGGCUCAGUCCCUUCGGGGGCGGCCCAACUUCAAAUCCCACCGCGGUGCUCUUUACCGAGUGUCGAGGUGGGCCGGCACGUUUACUUUGAACAAAUUAGAGUGCUUAAAGCAGGCUAAAACUUCGCCUGAAUACUGUGUGCAUGGAAUAAUGGAAUAGGACCUCGGUUCUAUUUUGUUGGUUUUCGGAACUCCGAGGUAAUGAUUAAUAGGAACGGAUGGGGGCAUUCGUAUUGCGACGUUAGAGGUGAAAUUCUUGGAUCGUCGCAAGACGGACAGAAGCGAAAGCAUUUGCCAAAAACGCUUUCAUUGAUCAAGAACGAAAGUUAGAGGUUCGAAGGCGAUCAGAUACCGCCCUAGUUCUAACCAUAAACGAUGCCAGCUAGCGAUCCGCCGACGUUCCUCCGAUGACUCGGCGGGCAGCUUCCGGGAAACCAAAGCUUUUGGGUUCCGGGGGAAGUAUGGUUGCAAAGCUGAAACUUAAAGGAAUUGACGGAAGGGCACCACCAGGAGUGGAGCCUGCGGCUUAAUUUGACUCAACACGGGAAACCUCACCAGGCCCGGACACCGGAAGGAUUGACAGAUUGACAGCUCUUUCUUGAUUCGGUGGGUGGUGGUGCAUGGCCGUUCUUAGUUGGUGGAGCGAUUUGUCUGGUUAAUUCCGAUAACGAACAAGACUC